AGCAGACCCUCGCCGCGUCGGUGAAUUGUAUUUAUGGCAGCGCGCUCCCGAUGACACGACCGAUACGGUAGCGGAUCAGGCGACAAUGUCACCGAAUCCAGCCGCAGCGCCGACUUCCGGGAGCGAGGCGCCGCGAUUCCGCUCGGACUGACCGCGGACGGCGGCGUGUCGGAGGAUGACGUCUUCAACGUGAGGGUCUAUGUGACUGAGAGCGAGGGAUGAGGCGGGUUGAUUCAGACUCCAAUGGCCUGUUCUCAUCCGGGGAAAACACCGACAACGACUGCGAGGAUGUAAUGGGGGCGAGCUGUGAAGAGGCCAGCGCAGUGUGUUUGUGUGAGAGAGGUCCUCACACCAUCUACUGUGAACAACACCCUCAAGCGGGAACGGCGAAAUGCGAACAAUGCGGGAAGAGGCGGGUUACGAUUACCAGGCUGUCGGAGGGCUACGGCACGGAGGAGGAGUGCGCCCAGUCAGAUCCUCAGGGGGAGAGCGAUGCCGACGCUGACAUCGAGGACACCGACAGCAGGCUGCAGGUGGCGGGCUCUCUGCAGCGCAUCAGCUCUCGCAAGCGCAGGCGCCAGCGAAUCACCAGGCAGGACACGACGGAAAGCGAGGACGAUGGGGGGCGGAGCCACCGGAGCCAUCGGUGGAACCUCAGGCUAAGCCCUCACCGCACGCACAGCAGGACGAUUCUGGAGGAGAGCGUGUCCCAGGUGCGUCCGCUGGUCCUCUGCCGGUGCAGCGCGGGAGAGGGCCGGCCGGCGGCUGCGGCGCCGGACGCCGGGCCCAACGUCCGGACAAAGUGGCUCCUGCCGGCGUGGCCCUCGUCCUUCUCCUUCCCGCUCCUGGUGUCCCUCAUCUUCCUCCCCCUCACCCUGAGCUUCAUCGUGGUCAUCAUGUCAUUCCUGCUGCCGCUGACCAGCACAUGACCGGCGCCGCUUGGCCCUGCUGUACUGUACCUGCCGGCAUAUCUCAAAACCAAAGCAGCUCUCCUGGUGUCUUUUUUUUUUUUUUUCGUCCCAGCCGUUCGUCUCGUGUCCUUCUCUGCUUUCUUAUUUCCAGUAGAGUCCGCGUGUCUCCCUUGGCGCCGAACGGGAGGGGGAAGGUCAGGGGUGUGUGUGUGUGUGUGCGGCGGCGUUUGGCCGUGGGAGAAACGUGUAAAUACGAGAACUAUGCAAUGUCCACACGUUCUGGUCAGGACGGGACACAGCCUGGAGACCUUCGACGUUUAGGAACGAAGCGCAGGCCUGCCGGUCGGCUAGUAACCGGGCUGCUAGCUGGCCUGUGCGGUUGAGAAGUCCCGGUUCAGAAGCACAGCCCCGCCCCCCACCCCCCUACCUCAGCAUUUGUUGUGACUCUCUGCCCUGCGUUUUUAUGAUUUUUCUUAUUAUUAAUAAUUUUGUGUGUGUGUGUGUGUGUGUGUGAGUAGACACCAAGCUGGCCAAAGCUCCACCGUAAGCGAACAAAGGCACCCGGCGAGCAGACAGCGCUGUUUUGAACGAUGGUCACCAAAGUCACGCCGAGCGUGUCUACGGUAGCUUCUUGGCGAAACAGGACGAUCACUCAAAAUAGUGCUGAAAUUAAGAAUACGGGUCGAUCGCACCAAAUACAACGUCUUUAUAUUUCUGCCGCUCGUUUUGUUCCACCCUGCUUCACCCGUGAUUGAUUUCUCUGUACAGUAAGUUCGAAUAAACGCAUAAGCACAAGAACGGAGGACUGCGUGUUUCUGUCCAACCCAGCUGGCGGCAAAACACAAAGAAUAAAGACGAAUUCGAAAGCGCGCAGGACGCGGCGUGGACGAUCUCAGCACGACUCGCCGACAGGCACGUCGCCGCGACCUUGGACGGCUGCAGUUUUCUGUUUCCGAAGAAUGGUGCGAGGACGCUGAUGCCUCUCCCUAACCUCACAGCUUGUUUCGAACGUUCUGGAAAAGGCCCAGUAUUGUCCUGGGUUCUCCUUCCUCCAGAAAUUACGGCAACGUGCACCAAAUACAGGGGUCAAGGACUGUAGGUGCAUCAUAAAAUGUUCUCCACCAGGGACCAUAUCUGUCUUACAAGUGCAGAUAUGUACAGUACAGGCCAAAAGUCUGGACACACCUUCUCAUUCAAUAUGUUAUCUUCAUGACCAUUUACGUUGGUAUGAAUGAACACAUGUGGAGUUCUGUACUUAACAAAAAGUGGAGACCUGGCCUCCACAGUCACCGGACCUGAACCCAAUCCAGAUGGUUUGGGGUGAGCUGGACCCCAACAAGUGCUAAACACCUCUGGGAACUCCUUCAAGACUGUUGGAGAAGCAUUUCAGGUGACGACCUCUUGAAGCUCAUCGAGAGAAUGCCAAGAGUGUGCAAAGCAGGAAUCAGAGCAAAGAAACUAGAAUAUAAAACAUGUUUUCACUUAUUUCACCUUUUUUUGUUAAGUACAUAACUCCACAUGUGUUCAUUCAUAGUUUUGAUGCCUUCAGUGAGAAUCUACCGACGUAAAUGGUCAUGAACAUAAAAAAAACACAUUGAAUGUGAAGGUGUCUCCAAACUUUUGGCCUGUACUGUAUAUGUAAAAGAAAACCCUAACAUCAUUCACUCAGAAGCACACUGCUGGAGGUUGAGUGACAUGUCAGGGACGGACUGAUGUAAGCACCACUCAACAGCCCCAAACAAGGUCACGGAAGCGGACCAUAUGGAGCCAUGCACCCGGCUACCUUUCCCCGAGCCUUUCUCCAUGGCAACCAUCUGCUUCAUGUGCCACAAAAUGGUAUUUUUUCGCCCAUCUCUUUUGCCAAAUAGCCUUGAGCCCGACAGACCAAGCUACGGGCAUGUGGGAAUAACGCAGUCUGACAUCUGCUGUGAGAUCCUCCAUAUAAUAUAGAUAUAUCCACGUUUCUCGAAAACUGCAGAUGUUUCUGUUCUGGUAUUGCAGACAACUUCGAAUGACCACUUUGUCAGUAGAUCACCGGAUCUCGCCAUCUUGGUAAACAAGGUUAUUCAGCCGGGCAGGGGCUGAAGCACAAGCCUGAAAGAAAACACCACACAAGCUCCUCGAAGCUAAAGCCUAGCAGCACAUAAAACGCUAAAAUGCACCAGCCCCUUCCAGCAGGGGGCACUAGUGAGUAAUACAUGUUUUUGGCAACUUUCUACUAAUUGUUGCGUCUUCUAAAUCAGCUGUUUGUAUAAAAAUAUGUUUGCAUUGAUAUGUUCAAAAAUGUAACAUAAAUAAAGAUUGUUGUUGUUUACAACCCCCCUGCCCCCCCAUAACCCAGACUCCCCAGCUGUUGGCCGUGGAGAAGCAAUUCAAUCCUGCUGACCUGCGAAGGUGUAAGCCAAGCCAGCGAUCAUAUGAUGCAUCCUCCACUAUAAAUGUGCACCGGGGGGCACGAAUCUCACCCCUAGGCACCCGCCCAGGACGGGCCUGAAGUGAUUGGCCCUGAAGGCUUGGGCGCCAAAGCUCUGGACGGCGACCAAACGCGAGGGAUACUGUAGGUCGGUGAGAUGAAUGGCUGCCCAGGACAAGGCGUCUGAUAUAUGAACGCUGCCUUCUGAGCCGCAUACAAAAGCACGCAUGAACACUAUUUUAAAAGGGAAGGAUGGAAAGUAUUUUGUUUACUUUUGCCAGCAUCAUACCUUCAUUUCGGGUUUGUUUUAAUUGUACCACACCAGACCAGACUCUGGUAUUACUUACAGUAGAUAUCUGUGCGAUGAGAUAUGUUUAUGUGUAUAAAUAGCGACAUGUUGAGGGAUUCAGAGGUGCGGACCUUGUUUGCCCUGAGAACGGAGGGUAGGUAGCAGAGGAGGAGCAGAGGCAGUGUCUGGAGGAUUUGUCCAAAAGUUGCUGUGACGUCAGUGAUAUUACAAAAAGCAGAAGAAAGAUCUAAGCUGGGCUGAGAGACAUGGCGUUGGCUGAUCCCUGCCAUGUGAACCAUUGGAACUCUGGAUGGAGAGAAGGUAUGGAUGAGAGAAAUGAAAAGGAUGAUGGAUGGGAAGAGAGAAGGCAGGACUAUGAGGAGGACAGAGAGAAAAAAACCACAGAUCAGACCGAUGAUGAUGAUAACAUUUAUGAAAAUGAUGAUGAAGAUGAAAUAAAAAGCAUCAACAAACAUGCAGGGAAAAGAAGAUGCAAAGAAAGUAAUUGUACUGAUCAUGAGAACAUUUUGGAUGGUGAGAUUGACAUUGAUGUGGAACAUGAUGAAGAAGAUGGACAAAAUACUGAAGACCAAUUGUUCAACAGAAAUGCAGGGAAAAGAGAAGGUGACGUAAACAAUUCCGCAGAUUAUGAAAAAAAUGUCUCAAUGGAUGAUCUUCUUGAAGAAGAAGCUGAGAAUGAUGUGAAGCAUGAUGAAGACGCAGAAGAGGAAGAUACACAUUCUAUUGGUGGUGUUGACAUGAAGUUAUACUGUAGCUUCCACUACCCAUCAGAAUUGUUCCAAACCAUGAAUGAGUUCAG
This is a long non-coding RNA of Denticeps clupeoides (denticle herring), 4433 nucleotides long. The record is from Ensembl. Lineage: Eukaryota; Metazoa; Chordata; Actinopteri; Clupeiformes; Denticipitidae.